This is a long non-coding RNA of Dreissena polymorpha, 379 nucleotides long. RefSeq lists it as uncharacterized. NCBI's taxonomy places the organism in Eukaryota, Metazoa, Mollusca, Bivalvia, Myida, Dreissenidae. The record is from RefSeq and is a predicted model, not a curated record. The transcript is spliced from 3 exons.
AACGAAAUUCCAAAGUUAACUUUUGUUCAAAUGUAAAACAAAUCGACGAAUAUGCAUACAAUUGAAAAGAAAAGCAAUGAUGUUCAGCUAUACUGAAAACAGAUGUUAGCAUGUACCAAAAGUUACUCGCUCUUGGUUUUCGGCCCAGUACCCUUUAGCUGGACCCGGACUGCGUGUAUGACGCCACCAGCCACCAUGCGCCGCGAUCCCAGAGAGAGAGCCCACAGAAACCGGACGCACAUAGCGGGACCGCGGCACGGGGCGCUGUUGAUCAGAGAUUGACGCUGCAACGCCGGAUGAUCAAGCUUGCCCGGACGCGAAUGUAAAACGCAGUGACAACAUCGACCGGAUCGCCCCAAGUCUGCACAUGCGCAGUGAC